AGUGAACGCUGGCGGUAGGCCUAACUCAUGCAAGUCGAACGGCAGCACAGAGGAGCUUGUUCCUUGGGUGGCGAGUGGCGGACGGGUGAGGAAUACAUCGGAAUCUACUCUGUCGUGGGGGAUAACGUAGGGAAACUUACGCUAAUACCGCAUACGACCUACGGGUGAAAGCAGGGGAUCUUCGGACCUUGCGCGAUUGAAUGAGCCGAUGUCGGAUUAGCUAGUUGGCGGGGUAAAGGCCCACCAAGGCGACGAUCCGUAGCUGGUCUGGGAGGAUGGUCAGCCACGCUGGAACGGAGACACGGUCCAGACUCCUACGGGAGGCAGCAGUGGGGAAUAUUGGACAAUGGGCGCAAGCCUGAUCCAGCCAUACCGCGUGGGUGAAGAAGGCCUUCGGGUUGUAAAGCCCUUUUGUUGGGAAAGAAAUCCAUCUGGUUAAUACCCGGGUGGGAUGACGGUACCCAAAGAAUAAGCACCGGCUAACUUCGUGCCAGCCGCCGCCGUAA
RNAcentral lists this ribosomal RNA (506 nucleotides) under uncultured bacterium. RNAcentral describes it as "partial 16S ribosomal RNA". It matches the Rfam family "Bacterial small subunit ribosomal RNA", at positions 29 to 523 of the family's 1533-position model. The record is from RNAcentral.